Molecule: ribosomal RNA, 253 nt
Filed under: uncultured bacterium
Lineage: Bacteria
Description: partial 16S ribosomal RNA
Rfam family: Bacterial small subunit ribosomal RNA
Source: RNAcentral
UACGAAGGGGACUAGCGUUGUUCGGAAUCACUGGGCGUAAAGCGUCUGUAGGUGGUUCGAAAAGUCCACUGUUAAAAAUUGAGGCUUAACUUCAAAGAUGCCGUGGAAACUUUCAAACUAGAGUAUGGUAGGGGUAGAGGGAAUUUCCAGUGGAGCGGUGAAAUGCGUAGAUAUUGGAAAGACCACCGAUGGCGAAGGCACUCUACUGGGCCACUACUGACACUGAGAGACGAAAGCUAGGGGAGCAAAUGGG